CAUCACGCGUGAAAGCCUUUCCCUUUCCCCCCAAUUCUUCCCCCAAAUCCCCUAAAAUUUUCAAAAUCUCCCACACUGCUGCUGUGUCUCCCCCUCCCACUUUCCUCCUUCGCCCACCGCCAACCACUUCCUCACCGAACGCACCGGCGACGCCCACCCACGGCACCAGCUCGAAAUCCGGCGACGCCCAUCGACACAGGCCACGCCCACAGCCCAAAAAUCGAUCGGCCAAACGCCACCCACGGCCCCAGCUCAGAGUCUCACUGACCAUACGUCGUGUACCGGGAUAGCUGAAUUCGGGCGUUCUGAUUUUUCAUUUUCCUCCCAUUUCCCAAUUCUCCACCGUCCCCCUCCCCCACCGACCGAGCACCGCCCACCAAGACAAAGGGCCUACCGACCGAGCGCCGCCCACCAAGACGAACGGCCUUCCGACCGGCCAACCGACACCGUCCCUCUCCCCUCUCUCUCUACUGCAUAUUGUAGUAUGCUCUGCUGAUAGACAGAAGUACUGCUCGGUGCUUGCCGAAUAGCACCAUUGAGUUUUUUUAAUUUUUAGUAAAAAAAAAUUUAGAGAAGGUAUGCAAGAUACUCCAAGGAACAAGGGAACAUCUGCGGCCUCUUGAAAUUGAAAUAUGCUUAGUGUCUCGCUUUCGUCUCCCUCCAAACUCUCAUUACCUUCCCUCAAACCCUCAAACCCUUCGCGCCAAAACCUUCCAUCAUCAUUAUCAUCCACCCCGAACCAAAACUUUGAACUCUUUAACCAUCGUCCGAUCCACCACCUCAAUGUGGGUCAACUCCACAAAGCAAUGGCCACCCUUGAUGGCAUGGCCCAAAAGGGUACCCACCCAGACCUCACCACCUACUCCCUUCUCCUCAAGUCCUGCAUCAGGUCCCGGAAUUUCCAACUGGGGAAACUCGUUCACACCCGCUUGACUUUGUCCCAACUCGAGCCCAACUCGGUCAUUCUCAAUUCUCUCAUCAGCUUGUACUCAAAGUGUGGGGAUUGGGCUAAAGCAAAGGCCAUAUUUCAUAGCAUGGGAGAUAAGAGAGACUUGGUUUCUUGGAGUGCAAUGGUUUCUUGUUUUGCAAAUAAUGAUAUGGAAUUUGAAGCCAUUGGGACAUUCCUUGAAAUGCUUGAGAAUGGUUUUUACCCAAAUGAAUAUUGCUUCGCGGCUGUGAUUCGAGCAUGUUCGAAUGCGCACAAUAUCUCGAUCGGGAAGAUGAUUUUUGGGUUUGUCAUAAAGAGUGGAUAUUUUGAGUCCGAUUUGUGUGUUGGGUGUGCAUUGAUUGAUAUGCUUGUAAAGGGUAGUGGUGAUGUGGAUUUAGCUUAUAAGGUGUUUGAGAAAAUGCCUGAGAAAAAUGCGGUUACUUGGACUUUGAUGAUAACUAGGUUUAUGCAAUUGGGGUACUCAAGAGAGGCCAUACAUUUGUUCUUGGAUAUGGUUUUGAGUGGAAAUGUUCCGGAUCGGUUUACACUAAGUGGAGUUUUAUCGGCUUGUGCGGAGUUAAAAUUGUUGUCGCUUGGGCAGCAAUUGCAUUCUUGGGUUAUCCAGGUGGGAUUGGCUUUAGAUGUUUGUAUUGGUUGUUGUUUGGUGGACAUGUAUGCAAAGUGUUCAUCAAAUGGAUCGUUGGAUGAUUCAAGGAAAAUUUUCAUUCGGAUGAUAAAUCAUAAUGUCAUGUCUUGGACAGCAAUUAUCACAGGAUAUGUGCAAAGUGGAGGGCUUGAUAUGGAAGCUGUCGAACUUUUUUGCGAAAUGAUCAAGGCUGAUUUUACGCCGAAUCAUUUCACCUUUUCUAGUGUCCUUAAGGCAUGUGCAAAUCUUUCUGAUCCACGCAUGGGUGAGCAAGUUUAUGCCCAGGCAGUGAAACUAGGUCUUGCAUCGGUUAAUUGUGUGGGAAAUUCUCUUAUUAGCAUGUAUGCGCGGUCUGGCAUGAUGGAAGAUGCCCGUAAAGCUUUUGAUAUGCUGUUUGAGAAGAAUUUGAUUUCUUACAAUACGGUUGUUGAUGGUUAUGCCAAAAAUCUAAAUUCUGAAAAAGCCUUUCAACUUUUUCAUGAGAUCGAGGAUGCAGGAAUUGGGGCUAGUGCUUUCACAUAUGCAAGUCUGCUGAGUGGAGCUGCAAGUAUUGGUGCAAUUGGUAAGGGCGAGCAAAUUCAUGCCAGUGUACUGAAAUCAGGAUUUGAGUCAAACCAAUGCAUUUCUAAUGCAUUGAUCUCUAUGUAUUCUAGGUGUGGAAACAUAGAAUCUGCUCUUCAAGUUUUUAAUGAUAUGGGAGAUCGGAAUGUUAUUUCUUGGACUUCUAUGAUCACAGGUUUCGCAAAACAUGGAUUUGCCUCUAGAGCUGUGGAGUUUUUCCACAAAAUGCUUGAGGUUGGUGUAAGACCGAAUGAGAUCACCUAUAUUGCUGUCUUAUCAGCUUGCAGCCAUGUGGGGCUGAUUUCUGAGGGUUGGAAACACUUCACUGCGAUGUACAAAGAACAUGACAUUGUUCCGAGAAUGGAGCAUUAUGCAUGUAUGGUUGAUUUGUUGGGCAGAUCAGGAUCCCUUCUAGAAGCCCUUGAAUUUGUGAACUCAAUGCCUUUCAAGGCUGAUGCGCUAGUCUGGCGUACAUUUCUUUCUGCUUGUCGAGUUCAUGGAAAUAAAGAACUUGGGAAACAUGCUGCUAAGAUGAUUCUUGAGCAAGACCCACAUGAUCCAGCGGCAUAUAUCUUACUAUCGAACUUGUAUGCUUCCUCAGGUCAAUGGGAGGAUGUUGCAAUAAUUAGAAAAAAAUUGAAAGAGAGAAACUUGAUCAAAGAGGCAGGUUGUAGCUGGAUAGAGGUUGAAAAUACAGUGCACAAGUUCCAUGUUGGGGACACUUCACACUCCCUAGCAAGAGAGAUUUAUGAUGAGCUGAACCAUUUGGCUUUGAAAAUAAAGGAAUUGGGCUAUGUACCGGAUACAGAAUUUGUUCUUCAUGAUGUGGAGGAUAAACUGAAGGAGCAAUAUUUGUUUCAACACAGUGAGAAAAUAGCUGUGGCGUUUGGUCUUAUAAGCAUAUCCAAAUCAAAACCCAUCAGGGUAUUUAAGAAUCUUAGAGUUUGCGGAGACUGUCAUGCUGCAAUCAAAUUUAUCUCGAUUGCCACGAGUAGGGAAAUAGUGGUAAGAGACUCUAACCGUUUUCACCACUUCAAAGAUGGGACAUGUUCAUGCAAUGAUUACUGGUGAUUUUGUUAAGUUGGAGUAAGAAUAGUCAAAUUCUCUCUAUGACAGUUCUGCGCUAAUCGGAGAGCUUAUAUGAGCUUCUUUUCUAGGCUCAUAACUUCCUAAUUUGUUGGUUGAUUGAUUAUUGAUUUUCUGGUCACUUCCCAUCAAAACUCUUCAAAAGCUUGUUCUUAGGGUGGAUGAACAGUGGCCUACAGAGCCUACAAAUGGAAACGAUUCUGGACGAAUGAGUGCCAAGUAUAAUUAAUCUUAAGUUGGCAUGUAUAUUUGUCAUCUCAUUCUUUAACCUUUGUGUUGUUCUGCUAGCUGUAACCUGUAUAAAUCAUACUUGUACCUUCUUUGUGUAAUCUGUAUACCUGUAAACUUCAUAUUUGCGACUACUUGUACAACUGCAAAUUUGGACCCUCAUUUGAUCAGUUUAUUUACUACCACUAUGUGCAGUUUCUCCCACAGCUCAUAUUGCCUAUUCUUCAAUGUUCUAGAAGACUUCUUCACUAUUAUCCUUUACUUUCCCCUCUUGUAUAGACCUGGUAAUGGUUGCAUUUUCUGGUUUGAGAAGAAUGUUCAUGAAUAAAAAAUGUGUUAAUGUUUUAGCAUUUCAAUGUUUGGGGUGCUGUGAGAUGCACUUGUGUCAGUAGGAUGUUGUAGGAGUGAUGAUAGGCAGGGGACGUUUAACCAUCCCCUGCCCGGCCCUUUCCUAUGUGGCAGUCCCAUUUUAUUAAAAAAAAUAGAAAAUGCAUUACGUUUAAACCAAAAUCGCGAGCUUCCUGUUUUCAUUUCCCCCCAUUUUUCGAUUUGGUCUUUCCCCCCAAAUUUUUCGCCAAUCACCGUUUUCGCCUCCCCCACCGUACGGCCUUUCCCUUUCUGUCAACAGAGCUCCGGCCACCAAGACCCGAGUGACCGCCACCCAUCAGAGCAGAAACUUCAUUUAUCUUUUUUGUCAACGGAGUGCCGGCUUGCAAACCCAUUUCCCUUUUCGGUUGACGGAGUGCCGGCCACCAAGACCCACCGAUCGGCACCCAUCGGAGCACCCCCCUCUCUCUCGCCGUUUUACUGUUGGAAAGAUACCACAAAAAGGCCGUAAGUGAAAGGAGAAGGAUGUAGAAAUUCAUGCAUUGCUACCUUCUUGAUCUUAGUGUUUGUGCUGUUCCCAUUGAGGUUAGAACAUUUGGGUUGAUGCUUUCCCUAUAGAAUGACUUUUUAACUUCCUUUAAGAUAACUAGGUCUUAUGUGAAAUGAGAAGGAUGUUGUCCUCUUUGAAGCAGAACCUCUAAGAAAGAUAUUUUCUCUUUUUUUGCUUUUUAACUCGAGUUUUUAAUGUAGUGGCAACAUACACUUGCAAUAUAACAGUAAAAGAAUUUGUGUAAAAUGGUAAAGUGCAAGGUUUAGAUCUGUAAUAGGUUACAAAAAAUACUUCCAAUGCACUGAACUUUAUCUUUUCCUCUUUUGUUGAAAGGGUAAGACCCGUGUCAAUUACACACAGAGACCACUAUGUCAAUAUUGCACGGAGAAGAGCACUGGAAGCAAAUGAGGUGGCAUCAAAGCAUAGGAAAUCUGACCAAGUGGAUGGCAAACCCCUAAAGCAAAUCAAUGGUUACACAUCCGGUGAAGAGAAACAAAGCUCAGCUUUAUCGAAUAAUUGUCAAGGUGGCUUCUUUGCUUAUCAGUUUGAAAAUCUUGCAAACUUCCGAGCGCACUAUGAGGGUACCGGGCCUGAGAUUUUGGAACAGGCUGGUGGUAAUUUAGAUGCAUUUGUAGCGGCUACAGGCACAUGAGGGACUGGCUGGUGUUUCCAAGUUUCUCCGUGUUAAAUUAUUCAUUAAUUCCCUUAUUUCAUCUAUUCAGCAGGAAAAAGUUCCAAACAUCAAGUCCUUCCUGGUAGAUCCUCCUGGUUCUGGUUUGUUCAAUAAGGUAACAAGAGGGGUGAUGUACACACGAAAGAGGAGGCUGAAGGGCGCAGAUUAAAGAAUCCGUUUGGAGCAAGUGGGAGCAGAUUCUGUCUCAGCAUGGAUUGGAGACCCAAGGCAACAGGAUUAGAGUUUUUGGGCAUCAAAUGAGUUUUUGGUGCUGCUGUGUUGAAAUCUAAAAGCUGUUUGUAAUUUUGUGAACAUAUAUGUUAGUGAAUCUUGGAUCUGAGUGAAGCUGGGGAAUAUAGAGAACAAAAGUGAUGGGGUUGCUGACUUGGAGAAUAUACAGAACAAAAGCUGCAGUUUUUUUUUGUUUAUCUUGAAGCCCUUUUGGCUUACUGGUUGUUGGCAGUGGAUGUAGAGGCUGUAACAGUUUUUGUUUUGUUGCAUGUUUAUAUCUCAGAAAUAGUUGAUUUGCAUCGGCUUUCAUGUACACAUCUUUUACAUGUAAUUGAAUGCAAAUGCACAUAGUGAUGUGCUUGGAGA
RNA transcript from Alnus glutinosa, 5596 nucleotides. It is a transcript of the gene named pentatricopeptide repeat-containing protein At3g49170, chloroplastic, with no coding region annotated. Lineage: Eukaryota; Viridiplantae; Streptophyta; Magnoliopsida; Fagales; Betulaceae. The record is from RefSeq and is a predicted model, not a curated record. The transcript has 5 exons.